This 253-nucleotide ribosomal RNA is filed under the name uncultured bacterium. RNAcentral describes it as "partial 16S ribosomal RNA". It matches the Rfam family "Bacterial small subunit ribosomal RNA", at positions 524 to 776 of the family's 1533-position model. The record is from RNAcentral.
GACGAAGGAUGCAAGCGUUAUCCGGAUUCAUUGGGUUUAAAGGGUGCGUAGGCGGACUUGUAAGUCAGUGGUGAAAUCUCUUUGCUUAACAAAGAAACUGCCAUUGAUACUGCAAGUCUAGAGUAUAGAUGACGUUGGCGGAAUAUGACAUGUAGUGGUGAAAUACUUAGAUAUGUCAUAGAACACCGAUUGCGAAGGCAGCUAACUAAACUAUAACUGACGCUGAGGUGCGAAAGCGUGGGGAGCAAACAGG